This 64-nucleotide transfer RNA is filed under the name Agrilinae sp. 2 ACP-2013. RNAcentral's name for it is "tRNA-Tyr". The record is from RNAcentral. Lineage: Eukaryota; Metazoa; Arthropoda; Insecta; Coleoptera; Buprestidae.
UUAAGAUGGCUGAGAUUAGGCGUUAAAUUGUAAAUUUAUUUUACGAGAUUAUUCUCUCUUAACA